UUCGCGCGUUGUUAGCAUAAAACUUCACCGCAGAUAUCGAACAUAAUCGCUCACGCGAUCCUGUUAGAAACUCUUUUACUGUAGGGUGUCGUUUAUUCGUCGGUGGUUGCAUCGAAAGGUCCUGAUGAGCAUCAAAGGAUAUUUCACCCUGGAAUUUAUCGAAGAAAAUCGCUCGAUUGUUACCAGAGCAAUCCCGAAAAUGUGACAUUAAGUAUUGGAUGGUUUCUUUGUGCUCCUGAUCAUUGCGGGAAACACUAAGACAAAUAUUUUAUAGCUGACAUAGAAUUUAAGUCAGCUAAUGCAUUUGACAAGAGUCCACACUUUGAAGCCUUCCCCAAUGGAACCUUGGUUAUCAAGGAAGUGUUACCGACGUUUGAUAACAAAAAAUUCAUUUGUCGAAUAAAGAGGGUUAGAGGGAGUGUAGAAAACAAAGCAUUCUAUUACCAACUCGAAAUUGACUGAGGUCUUAGGAAAGUUCCUGUGCGAAUUCACCAAAGAGUGUCUCUACAAACUCCAUUCAACUGGAAAAUGUGACUGAGAUUGGUUGGUUUUCCUGCCCAACUAUAGCUAAGAGCUGCCAUCCGCAUCUGAACAAUUUUGGCUGACAUAAUGUUUAUGAUAAACAUUUUAUCCAUUGAGCUAACCGCCUCCUAAAGGUGUCUGUUGAUGAUCCGAACUUUGAUGCCUACCCCAAUGGGACUUUGGUCAUCAAAAGCGUCCUCCUCAUCUAUGAUGGAAGAAACUUCAUCAUGCGAGCACAUCUAAAAAAUAUGACAAGCAAGGCCUACACUUACCAUCUUUAAAUUAACAAAGAUCCUCCAUGUUCAACACUGAAAACUUCAACAGGCACUUAACAAUCCCAUGGCAACAUUAGCGUGGUAGCUACCAUGGACAUUGAUGACCCUGUGUCUACCAAAGACACCGAUGACCAAUCAGUAAACCAUUACAGUAACCCAGUGGCUGCCACAGACAAGGAUGACACAGUAACUACGAAAGACACCGAUGAUUCACUAGUUACCCAUGACAAUAGUAGUCCUAUGGCUACCACAGACAGUAUAAGUGAGUCAAAAGGCACCGAUAACCUACCAGUACCAAUGGGAACCCUGAUACCCUGAUGUGGUACAACAAGUUCUGGAAUUCAAUUAGCAAAUACUUGUCUAGUAUCAAAUAAAUUGAUGAUAUUGCGAGUGUUGAUAACAUCAGUGAUAACAGCCCUUGAUGAGCUAGAUGAUGUUGGUAAUAUUAUAAAGUCAACAUUAUUAUCAAUAAAGCUCAAGCAUUAUACAAAUGCCAAGACCAUCAAGUCACAAACAUCUGUGAUAAAGAAUGGAAUUUUUGACUUUUAUGGUAAUGAAUUAGAUUAUUUUAUCAGCCUUUUGUACCCCUUUUUAGCAAUUACAAUUACUUCAUCCUGCAACCUGAGCACCGUCAAUGAUUAAGACUCACAAAUUACAUGACAUUGCACUUAGAUGUAACAAUAAGAACAGUACCGUUGUCAAUUCACUUGAUGAAUGGCUUCAUCCAAUGACGAAUCAUUGUCAAAGUAAAUUUCAAAACAAACCCCAGUUAGUAUUCGGAGUCAAACAAAUGUAACAUUAAACUGCGAUGGUACCUAGACUGUAUUAAGCCAGUGUCCCGGACUUAGAACUAGUAUACCGCGUUCAUUUUCCUGUUUCAAGAAUUUUUUUAUAUUUUCUGUUCAUUGAACUGAGUAGAAGAACUCAUCUCAGCCCUAAAGAUCUACCAAGUAUAAAAACCUUGCGUAGAAAGCUACUUAAUCUACACAAUGCAACAUUAUGGGGUGGUAUUCAUUGCAUCUGUUUAUUCAACUAUGCCAGUACCUGGCUCAUCCACAAUGGACUUAAACAACAAAGAAAAUUUUAACCCUGAACUGUCUGUAUUUACUAGUCAGCCAAAGGGAUUUUUAGAGAGCUAUGUUCUUUACAUCGAAUAUAGCAAAGCAAAAACAGAACAAAACAAAAAGAGGCUUUAGUCAGAUUAUUUAGCAGUAAUAGUAGUUAUAAUAUCUUGUUUUACGUCAAGAUUAUCAAAGUAGUAAAACUGUUGCUUAAUAAACCUCUUUCAUUGUAAAAGCAAAGAUCUUUGUGCCUUACACCUGGUCAGUGUGAGGCACAAAUGAAAGUGUUUAUAGUAACGUUUUUUUACAGUGAAAUGUUCACGUGAGCAGGCAUUACUCCAUUGUUGAUAAAGCUCAAUGCCUUGCGACGGUUUUGAAAAUGGUAUGAAUAUUUUUUUUCAGUUUCUACCAUUUCUUAAAAUGAUUUUGGUAGCUUCUCGGGAGACCUCGAAUCGCUCGAACAUUUCCCCCAGCAGCAAUGCUUUGUGCAGACCAUUUUUAACCAGGAUUACUUCGAUUAUUUGUCUCAUCUGGUCUCCUGUCCUUCACUUGCGACUAAAUACAGGAAUGGCUACGACCUCAUUCGA
Long non-coding RNA from Stylophora pistillata, 2445 nucleotides. RefSeq lists it as uncharacterized. Lineage: Eukaryota; Metazoa; Cnidaria; Anthozoa; Scleractinia; Pocilloporidae. The record is from RefSeq and is a predicted model, not a curated record.